Long non-coding RNA from Rhipicephalus sanguineus (brown dog tick), 210 nucleotides. RefSeq lists it as uncharacterized. The record is from RefSeq and is a predicted model, not a curated record. The transcript is spliced from 2 exons. Lineage: Eukaryota; Metazoa; Arthropoda; Arachnida; Ixodida; Ixodidae.
UCUGACGGCAGUUUGGCAGCAAUGCUCGCAAGCUUCACGUCGCUAACAAGUAUUCUCUGUACGCAGGUGAGAAUUUCGCUACUGCACCUAAAUUCUAUUAUUGCUAGCACUGCUGCCAAGCACCAUUGCCUACGUUGUGUCGGCUUGCUGUUGUCUUGUUGAAGGAUGAAUAAGAAAGUAGACGUGUUUCAGCGAGAGAUACGAAAGGAA